Molecule: ribosomal RNA, 460 nt
Filed under: uncultured bacterium
Lineage: Bacteria
Description: partial 16S ribosomal RNA
Rfam family: Bacterial small subunit ribosomal RNA
Source: RNAcentral
CCUACGGGAGGCAGCAGUGAGGAAUAUUGGUCAAUGGACGAGAGUCUGAACCAGCCAAGUAGCGUGAAGGAUGACUGCCCUAUGGGUUGUAAACUUCUUUUAUAUGGGAAUAAAACGUUCCACGUGUGGGAUUUUGUAUGUACCAUAUGAAUAAGGAUCGGCUAACUCCGUGCCAGCAGCCGCGGUAAUACGAAGGAUCCGAGCGUUAUCCGGAUUUAUUGGGUUUAAAGGGAGCGUAGGUGGAUUGUUAAGUCAGUUGUGAAAGUUUGCGGCUCAACCGUAAAAUUGCAGUUGAAACUGGCAGUCUUGAGUACAGUAGAGGUGGGCGGAAUUCGUGGUGUAGCGGUGAAAUGCUUAGAUAUCACGAAGAACUCCGAUUGCGAAGGCAGUUCACUGGACUGCAACUGACACUGAGGCUCGAAAGUGUGGGUAUCAAACAGGAUUAGAUACCCGUGUAGUC